CUGUGGAACAUGUCAUCUUUAUAAAUAGAACCAGAGGCCAGCGGUUUCUAAACAGUCAGGAGACACUCUGUCUUCUGGUGUCAGCUAUUUAUUUGUAUUUCCGUUUCAUAAAAUGCACCUUCUCUGGGUCUAGGCUUUGCCCCAUUAGACGUCUGCUCUCCUGCCCCAGAUGUGCUACACAGAUUCCUGGCCUCUUGACUCAAACCCCUGGGAACGGGGCCAGUGGGCACUUUCUCCUCUGGUCCCUGCCAAGGUUGUCACUGUGUCCUGCUUCCUGUAUGGAAAUUCUCCCUUAGAAGACUUCUCUUCACCAAGACACCCCCAGAUGCCCCAGACUGAGGAAGAGAGAUUCUAUCGUCCGACUGCUCAAACAGGAUGAGGUGUAACAGAUUUGUGACCUUGAGAUUGCAUACAGGAAGCAUGCAGCAGGGAGGCUUCUUCAACCCCAACAACUGAUGAGCAUUUCCUUGCUUGGGGUACAGAAGAGAGUGGUUGGACAGUGCAUCAAGGAAGUAUUAAUUUGAACAAGAGGGGUUGGAUCUACCUAAUGGAGCUGGAAAAGAUCUUAGACUCUUAUACAUGCAGUUAGCACCCAAUCUUCCUCAAAACCCUAAGGUCAAACACGUGAUCUGUUCUUCCUCAUUUCCUGACUUAUAUUUCAGACUGUUUCUUGUUUUUACAUUAUUAAAGUUACUUUGAAGAUUCACUUUGAUCUGAUUUAAAUGGAAACAAAUAGGAGUAGAAAGAAAAGGUUUCCAGUGCAAUUUUCUGCCCCUUCACUCCAAGCACUAUGUGUGCAUCCAGUCCAUACUGAGACGUUGGGCAUGUCAGAUGAGUAACUUCGGUCCUUUUUACAUGAUUUUGUCUAUUCUUUACAUUUCUAUUCAAUAUUUAAUAGGAAUGGGAAAAAUAAUAAAAGUAAAUGCUUUUUACAUUCAAAAUAAAGGUAUAUUUUCCAUGUACAUAUUACAUGUGAUUUUCUGAACUAGACAAUUUAUUGAGAGGCAUAGUAAACUCUUUAAAUGUAGACAUUCUAAUAAAUCAUCCCCAGGAAAGAGCACAUACAGCAUCAUGAAUUUUUCAGUUUCAGAAUUUAAGCAGGCUGGACUGUUACAGGGAACUCCCAGAAGGCCAGUCUCAAAGUUAGUAGUGAGACCUUAUACACACCAUGUAAAUUUCAUGUAUUUGCCAUAAAAAAAUAUCAACAGAGAGAGACUGGCAGCAAUAGGGAGUGUUUAAUUGCAGCCAAAUCCAUUCAUGUCUCAUGAGUUUUGUCAGCAGUCAUGUAUGGAGACCUGAAUUGACUGGCUCCCUACUCUAGUUUUAUGCCAGUAGCAUUUUGGUGGCCCCUAUUGACUGGUGCUCUGGACAGCUGCCUAAUGGCUCACCCAUGAAUCUGGCCUGUAUCAUCCUAAUCCUGGGGUAUAGAAUGGACUCAGCCUGAAACACUGUGUCAUUUCUAUGAAAUGCCCCCUGGAGAGCCUGGGUGCCAUCUGGCCAGAGGAAGACUGGGGAGAGGGGAGCCUGCUGGAGCUAGAUGAAGGGAUUUGGUUUUGGUCAUGUAGCUGGAAGGGUGAAGUAUAGUUGUGGUAGGAAGUCACAGGUUUUUCUCACCAUCUGAGAGGGAAAGUCUUCAGAGAAAUAAGGGAGGUGGCAGUGCUUUUCAGUUUUGCCAUUCUUACCACCUGCAAAACAUUUGGCAAAGUAUGGAGACUUUUUUUGUGGUUGUCACAAGUGGCGGAUAAGUGCUACUGGCAUCUAGUGGGUAGAGGCCAGAGAUGCUGCUAAAUAUCCUAUAAUGUUUGGGACAGCCCCACAACAAAGAAUUUUCUGGUCUAAAAUGUAAGUAGUGCUGAGUUUGAGAAACCCUGCUAGACCCAGGAUUAGCUCUAGUCCUGGGCUAGGAUAGAUUAUGGGUGUUUUCUUUCCUUUCUAGGAUAAAAGCUUUCCUGCAAGGCCCACACCUCCCUUUGCUUCAACCUUGGCUUACCUUCUUCUCAUCUGAGUCUUGCAGCAUCUACAGUCCGUUCUGCAUCCUCACCCCAUACUGGUGGAGAACAUGCAUGGCCAGAAGUUGGGAGGGAAGGGAAGGCAGAGAGCUUUGAU
This is a long non-coding RNA of Panthera uncia (snow leopard), 2106 nucleotides long. RefSeq lists it as uncharacterized. The transcript is spliced from 3 exons. Lineage: Eukaryota; Metazoa; Chordata; Mammalia; Carnivora; Felidae. The record is from RefSeq and is a predicted model, not a curated record.